This 1115-nucleotide long non-coding RNA is filed under the name Homo sapiens (human). RNAcentral describes it as "HSALNT0389268". The record is from RNAcentral. Lineage: Eukaryota; Metazoa; Chordata; Mammalia; Primates; Hominidae.
GGGAGUGGGGCCUCCUCCUUUCAGAUGAACACAGUUGUCUGCUGCCUCCCACGUUCCACUUCUUAAAUGAGCAUGUUUGUGCUGUAUAGGCAAGGGCAACAGAAAACGCAAAGUGUCCUUUCCAGGAGGGCCAAAGGAGGGGGGCAGGGACGCUGGGAAGAGGCGCCAAAGCGGAGGACGGCUGCAGGGGUGACUUCAGCGCUUGGCUACCAAGACCAGGUGUUUCUCUUCCUCCUGCCCUGGGUACCAUCCCACAGAGAGGCCAGGCCCACCUGCAGGUCCUCACCUCCACAGAGCCAGCCUCUCUUGAGCAGCUCCGCUCUGCCUUCUGAUACUCAUCGCCACAAGCACCUUGUCCUUCCUCGGCCUCCCACUCCCUCCCUCUGAGCCCGCGCCCUGCUCCCCUGCCUGGCGGUCAGUCGACUGCCCCGCCCCGCCUCCAAUUCAGGUGGACAGGCUUCAGCGUCCACUACCGGGGAAGAGGCAGCCCCGCACCCGUGCCUCCCCCCGCCUCUGGGCCGCUCCUUCCCAGCCUGAGCCUGACCGCAUGAGGAAGGCACAACCUCUCUGCUCCAGAGACCUGGAGAGGCCGGGAGGCCCUGUCCUGGGCAUGGAAGGCAGGAGGGAGCCCUGAGUGCGGCAGGAGGGAAGCAGCGCUUCAGGGGAAGGAUCUAAUGGCUGUGACCUGCGUGGGCUGCAGGAGGAAAUCUACGAUGACGAUCAGGCGGAACUAGAAGACUCAGACAUCUGCUUAACCUGCUCUCCUUAGGAAGGCCUCUCCAGUGGGUUAGGACUAUACAGAGGUGCCCCGGCACUAAUGCCCCAUUUAAGGUUGAAAGCUCAGCUGAGAGAAAAAGUGUGGUGUCAUCGGGUACCCAUCCUAGUAAUAGUUGCCUUCCAUAAGGAGGAUUAACCUGCAUCUCAGGCUCCACUAGGCCAACACAAAUUCCCCUUCAGAAACCAGAUCCUCAUCUCUCACCUUACACAAAAAUCAACUCAAGAUGGUCAAAGGCUGAAAGCUAAAACCUGAAACCAAUACAAGUUCUAGAAGAUAACAUCGGAAAAACUCUUCCAGACAUUGGCUUAGGCAAAGAAUUCAUGACUAAGACCCCAAA